CCCCUAGUAACUGCGAGUGAAGCGGGAAAAGCUCAAAUUUAAAAUCUGGCGGUCUUUGGCUGUCCGAGUUGUAAUCUAGAGAAGUGCUACCCGCGCUGGACCGUGUACAAGUCUCCUGGAAUGGAGCGUCAUAGAGGGUGAGAAUCCCGUCUCUGACACGGACUACCAGGGCUUUGUGGUACGCUCUCAAAGAGUCGAGUUGUUUGGGAAUGCAGCUCUAAAUGGGUGGUAAAUUCCAUCUAAAGCUAAAUAUUGGCGAGAGACCGAUAGCGAACAAGUACCGUGAGGGAAAGAUGAAAAGAACUUUGGAAAGAGAGUUAAACAGUACGUGAAAUUGCUGAAAGGGAAACGCUUGAAGUCAGUCGCGUUGGCCAGGGAUCAGCCUCGCUUUGCGUGGUGUACUUUCUGGUUAACGGGUCAGCAUCAAUUUUGACUGCUGGAAAAAGGCUUGGGGAAUGUGGCAGCUCCGGCUGUGUUAUAGCCCUUUGUCAUAUACAGUGGUUGGGAUUGAGGAACUCAGCACGCCGCAAGGCCGGGUUUCGACCACGUUCGUGCUUAGGAUGCUGGCAUAAUGGCUUUAAGCGACCCGUCUUGAAACACGGACCAAGGAGUCUAACAUGCCUGCGAGUGUUUGGGUGGAAAACCCGAGCGCGUAAUGAAAGUGAAAGUUGAGAUCCCUGUCGUGGGGAGCAUCGACGCCCGGACCAGAACUUUUGGGACGGAUCCGCGGUAGAGCAUGUAUGUUGGGACCCGAAAGAUGGUGAACUAUGCCUGAAUAGGGUGAAGCCAGAGGAAACUCUGGUGGAGGCUCGUAGCGAUUCUGACGUGCAAAUCGAUCGUCAAAUUUGGGUAUAGGGGCGAAAGACUAAUCGA
Molecule: ribosomal RNA, 873 nt
Filed under: Volvolepiota velosa
Lineage: Eukaryota; Fungi; Basidiomycota; Agaricomycetes; Agaricales; Agaricaceae
Description: Macrolepiota velosa partial large subunit ribosomal RNA
Rfam family: Eukaryotic large subunit ribosomal RNA
Source: RNAcentral